ACUGACCUGAUGACACUGAUGUGGAACUGGUCCUCGCGAAGGCCUCGCCAGGCUCCGGGCAGGAAUUCCUUACACCACAGGUACCUGAGCCCUGACAUUUUUGCUAUCAAAAUACUGAAGAACCACAGGAGGGACUGCCUAGUUCUCCUGGGAUGAAAGGGUCUCAUCUAAUCCAGGCAAGCUGCUGGCCUUGAUCACCCAAUGUAAAUGAGGACGGCCUUGAACACCAAGUCAACUUUCUUCUUCUACCUCUCAAGUGCUGGCACUGUGUGUACAACAUGCAUAGCUUCCAAUAACAUUUCAGGAAGAAUUUAGACUGUAAGAUUUCACCAAAUUAGUUCUUCAGUUCUCUACGUACAACUGCAUACAAGAGGCUAUAUUGUAGGCAAUACCAGAGGAGAAAGACAGCAUCGUUGUCUUGGUUUGUUUGAUUUUAAUUAAUUAAUUAAUUAAUUAAUUAUUUUGAGACAAGGGUUCUCUGUGCCCUGACUGUCCUGGAACUCACUGUUUAUACAGUGGGAUGGUGGCAGUGAGGAUGUAGGUCCUCACAGAAUAUAUGCCUAACCUGCAUCAUGGAAAAAGUUAAACUCACUCAAAGACACAGAAAAAUAAGCUAGACACCACUAAAAUGAAGGCAGGUGCACACACAGACUGAGAGUUAGCAUAUGUGUGUGUGUGUGUGUGUGUGUGUGUGUGUGUGUGUGUGUGUGUGUGUGUGUGUGUGUGUGUGCGUGCGUGCGUGUGUGUAGAGGUCAGAGGACAACUUUCUCCUUCCAUCAUGUGGCUUUCAGGAAUCAAAUUCAGGCCAUCAAGUUUUGCAGCAAUUGCCUGCCUAUCAAGCCAUCUCACUUGACUGAUGUAGGCAUUUUUAACAGGGUUUGUGUGUCCUUUACUUUCUGAAACUUGUUCAUUCCAAUCUCAGAUGUCGUCCAAGUACCCCAAUUUUCACUGUUCACCAUGUCAAACUACUUAAAAGCUAAAAUCAACAUAAAAUAACUCUACUUAUCCUAUUUUCCCUGGGGUGUGCCCCUCCUGAGAUGACCUCUGUUUCUCACUCUCUAACUAGACUGCCUCAUAAAUAAAGCC
This 1086-nucleotide long non-coding RNA is filed under the name Mus musculus (house mouse). Its description in RNAcentral is "predicted gene 16066". The record is from RNAcentral. Lineage: Eukaryota; Metazoa; Chordata; Mammalia; Rodentia; Muridae.